RNAcentral lists this long non-coding RNA (524 nucleotides) under Brassica rapa (field mustard). Its description in RNAcentral is "long non-coding RNA (BRAP_LNC002455)". The record is from RNAcentral. Lineage: Eukaryota; Viridiplantae; Streptophyta; Magnoliopsida; Brassicales; Brassicaceae.
UGAGAGUCAAAAGAAGAUUGAUAUAAUUUCGUCAUUUGUGGGUUUGGUGACUUAGAUCAGUUCCGAACCUCACUCAAGUCCAGAUAUAUAGUAGCUGUUUGGUACCUUGAAAUACUUUGUCUUCCUAUAAACAAGAUACAUUAAACCAUGUUAGUACUAAUAAGUACAUAUAUACAUUCAAUUAUGUUCGUAUAUAAGCAUGAGCCUAUCAAUAUAAUGUUUUUCCAAGAAAGAAGAAUAUAUUUUAUGUUUGGUAUUUGAUAGAAGUCUUAUCGGUAACCAUUGAGUUGAGAAGUCAAUUGGUAGUAACCAUUGAUAGAGUGGCUAGAGCUUUCGGCGACAGAUAUGGCGAUUUUAAGAUCUGAUUGAUCUCGAUGUCGAUCCAGUCUUCACUCACCCUCGACAGCUUUCUCUUCUGUACAAGGGAGACUACCUCACACUCCUUGUGGCCUCCUUGGAUUUGCAGCAACGGAGAAGCAGUUUCGCUGGCGUCUUCUUCUACAAGUACCAACCCCCUGUUUGAG